Molecule: long non-coding RNA, 737 nt
Organism: Orbicella faveolata
Lineage: Eukaryota; Metazoa; Cnidaria; Anthozoa; Scleractinia; Merulinidae
Source: RefSeq, a predicted model, not a curated record
GUCAGUGAAGCGCAAUGCCUUACGUCCGCAAAAUACACCUGCCAAAAGAUAUUGGCAGCCAGGACAGCAGUGCUUUAGACUACGACUAUGAAUAACUUACACUUGAUAAGAAAAGUGGCAUACCAACUGAUAUCAAAACAUCGUCGUGGAAACUACAAAAUAUAUAUUUCUUUCUCCGUGAGAAAUGACCGCUAAAGCAAGAAAAAAGGAAUAAAUGACGCCAAAUACGAUAUUGCUUACUUAUCUUGCGCGAAAACAAAUCGACCAAAGAAAGAAAAAGGCGAACAAGCAAUUUAAAAGGCCCUGUCAGCAUUCCAAGUGAAAGAACAUUGAGUAUGGCGUAUGAAACGAUGGCUUGACGGGAGCUUUCGCAUCAAAUUAGAGGACGAAUGAAAGAGAAUUGUGUUUCUCCGACCGCGAGUUAAAUGACAUACUAUGGACUUUCUAAGCCGAUGUUCAAUUUGGAACAAGUCUUUCAUUCAUUCAUUCUUCAAGUGUAACUUGGCAAAUUUUGCGAUGAACCAUGAGUUCUCGACCCAUUCUUUGACUGGUUGCAGAGACAUUUCCCGCGCUAUUUUUGACUACACUCUUACAGUUGAGCUAACGUAUUAUGCCUCAGUGAAGUAUUAAGCAAUUUCAUUGCGAAGCUCUUGUAUUAUUGAAUUGGUUAUUACAAUCUGUAGCUAUCGGGAUAUUAGUUGGCCUUGUAUGUUGACAAUACAGUGAUAAUACCAUGA